RNAcentral lists this non-coding RNA (27 nucleotides) under Mus musculus (house mouse). The record is from RNAcentral. Lineage: Eukaryota; Metazoa; Chordata; Mammalia; Rodentia; Muridae.
UCACAUUCUAAGGAUUCCAGGUUGAUU